CCUACGGGUGGCAGCAGUAAGGAAUAUUGGUCAAUGGACGCAAGUCUGAACCAGCCAUGCCGCGUGGAGGAUUAAGGCCCUCUGGGUUGUAAACUCCUUUUAUCUGGGAAGAAAUGUACUUUUUCUUGAGUACUUGACGGUACCAGAGGAAUAAGCACCGGCUAACUCCGUGCCAGCAGCCGCGGUAAUACGGAGUGUGCAAGCGUUACUGGGAUUAACUGGGGCGUAGGGGGGCAGGGAUGGGCGGGGUGAAAGCUCCGGGCUUAACCCGGAAACUGCCGUUGAUACUAUUUGUCUUGAAUAUUGUGGAGGUAAGCGGAAUAUGUCAUGUAGCGGUGAAAUGCUUAGAUAUGACAUAGAACACCAAUUGCGAAGGCAGCUUACUACACAAUCAUUGACGCUGAGGCACGAAAGCGUGGGGAUCAAACAGGAUUAGAUACCCUGGUAGUC
This 450-nucleotide ribosomal RNA is filed under the name uncultured bacterium. RNAcentral's name for it is "partial 16S ribosomal RNA". It matches the Rfam family "Bacterial small subunit ribosomal RNA", at positions 338 to 795 of the family's 1533-position model. The record is from RNAcentral.